This 502-nucleotide ribosomal RNA is filed under the name uncultured bacterium. RNAcentral's name for it is "partial 16S ribosomal RNA". It matches the Rfam family "Bacterial small subunit ribosomal RNA", at positions 30 to 523 of the family's 1533-position model. The record is from RNAcentral.
AUUGAACGCUGGCGGCAUGCCUUACACAUGCAAGUCGAACGGCAGCAUAGGAGCUUGCUCCUGACGGCGAGUGGCGAACGGGUGAGUAAUAUAUCGGAACGUGCCCUAGAGUGGGGGAUAACUAGUCGAAAGACUAGCUAAUGCCGCAUACGAUCUACGGAUGAAAGUGGGGGAUCGCAAGACUUCAUGCUCCUGGAGCGGCCGAUAUCUGAUUAGCUAGUUGGUGGGGUAAAAGCCUACCAAGGCGACGAUCAGUAGCUGGUCUGAGAGGACGACCAGCCACACUGGGACUGAGACACGGCCCAGACUCCUACGGGAGGCAGCAGUGGGGGAUUUUGGACAAUGGGGGCAACCCUGAUCCAGCAAUGCCGCGUGAGUGAAGAAGGCCUUCGGGUUGUAAAGCUCUUUUGUCAGGGAAGAAACGGUAGUAGCUAAUAUCUAUUACUAAUGACGGUACCUGAAGAAUAAGCACCGGCUAACUACGUGCCAGCAGCCGCAGUAA